RNAcentral lists this unclassified non-coding RNA (234 nucleotides) under Glomus sp. RNAcentral describes it as "partial contains 5.8S ribosomal RNA and internal transcribed spacer 2". The stretch from base 1 to 65 matches the Rfam family "5.8S ribosomal RNA", at positions 84 to 154 of the family's 154-position model. The record is from RNAcentral. Lineage: Eukaryota; Fungi; Glomeromycota; Glomeromycetes; Glomerales; Glomeraceae.
GUGAAUCAUCAAAUUUUUGAACGCAAAUUGCACUCUCUUCGGAGAGUAUGCCUGUUUGGGGGUCAGCCUAAAAAAAAAUCGACAUAGUCGCUGUUUCGCGUUGACGUUCGGCGGAAAUUGGGUCAUAUUAAACUUUUGGGUUUUAAGCGGCUUAAAAUUUUCUUUUCGAUUCCACGAACGUUUCUAAGAUUGACUCUUUACACAUUUAAGGUAUUCGAUCUUUAUUAGACAUGG